GGGGCUGGAGCUCAGUGGUUUUGAGCAUCUGCUUUUCAUACAGGAGGUCUCAGGUUCAAUCCCUAGCAUCUCCA
Non-coding RNA from Podarcis lilfordi (Lilford's wall lizard), 74 nucleotides. The record is from the annotation of a GenBank genome assembly. NCBI's taxonomy places the organism in Eukaryota, Metazoa, Chordata, Lepidosauria, Squamata, Lacertidae.